UUCCUNAGACGCUGGCGGCGUGCCUAACACAUGCANGUCGAACGAGAAAGUCCCUUCGGGGGCGAGUAAAGUGGCGCAAGGGUGAGUAACACGUGAAUAAUCUGCCUUCGAGACUGGGAUAACUUGGCGAAAGUUAAGCUAAUACCGGAUAAGACCACAUUUCAUAAGGAGCGCGGUAAAAGGGGUCUCAAACCCUGCUUGAAGAUGAGUUCGCGUACCAUUAGCUUGUUGGUGAGAUAACAGCUCACCAAGGCAACGAUGGUUAGCCGGCCUGAGAGGGUGAUCGGCCACACUGGAACUGAGACACGGUCCAGACUCCUACGGGAGGCAGCAGUGGGGAAUCUUGCGCAAUGGGCGAAAGCCUGACGCAGCAACGCCGCGUGAGCGAUGAAGGUCUUCGGAUCGUAAAGCUCUGUCAAGUGGGAANAACACAAUGACGGUCCCUANAGGAAGCCCCGGCUAACUUCUGCCACCACCCGCGGUAAUACAAAGGGGCAGCGUUGUUCGGAAUUUUGGGCGUAANCGUUUUAGGUGGUCUUUCAGUAAACUNUANCCCUNGCUUACCAAGAAUUCNUUNAACUAUUACUUAUUUNGAAAAAAC
Molecule: ribosomal RNA, 601 nt
Filed under: uncultured bacterium
Lineage: Bacteria
Description: bacterial SSU rRNA
Rfam family: Bacterial small subunit ribosomal RNA (bases 9-501)
Source: RNAcentral